AAAGAUAGAGGCGCGCCUCGGAAAAAGUACUGCCCGCAAAAAAGUUGCCGAAACUGGGCAGGAAAGGUCCUGGCGCCGAAGCGGAUGCCGUGGCGGGCAUCUUGGCUGGCAGCCCGGAGAAUAUCCGUUCUGCUGUCGCAGGUUCUGCGGAGGGCUAUC
RNAcentral lists this non-coding RNA (159 nucleotides) under bovine gut metagenome. RNAcentral describes it as "Lysine riboswitch". It matches the Rfam family "Lysine riboswitch aptamer". From Rfam's summary of the family: Riboswitches are metabolite binding domains within certain messenger RNAs that serve as precision sensors for their corresponding targets. Allosteric rearrangement of mRNA structure is mediated by ligand binding, and this results in modulation of gene expression. This family includes riboswitches that sense lysine in a number of genes involved in lysine metabolism, including lysC. The record is from RNAcentral.